Molecule: long non-coding RNA, 330 nt
Organism: Cebus imitator (Panamanian white-faced capuchin)
Lineage: Eukaryota; Metazoa; Chordata; Mammalia; Primates; Cebidae
Exons: 3
Source: RefSeq, a predicted model, not a curated record
CAAGGAUUUCAGCAACAACUUUCUGAAAGCACAAGGAGACCUGGAGCUGGAGAUGAUUACAAGUCUUAAAGUAAUUUCAUACGAACAAACCAUUUCAAAGUACCAAGAGUCUCCUGUCUUGGCUGAGACAACGUGGCUACUUAAACCAUUUUCCUGGCAAAACCUCCCCCUUCUGAUGCUAACAGUGUCAAGAUUUUCCUUUGGAGAGCCAUUCUCCAGUUUUAGAUCUUACAUAGGAGUGGGAUUCAAGAAUGAAAAUGUAACCCAGCCUUGCCUGGGUUUUAAGUGAACAGUUUUCCAUGAGUACUUGGUAAAGGAACUGGUUACUUG